GUUUCCGUAGUGUAGUGGUUAUCACGUCUGCUUCGCGCGUUGAAGGUACCCGGUUUGAGCCCGGGCGGAAACA
Molecule: non-coding RNA, 73 nt
Organism: Pollicipes pollicipes
Lineage: Eukaryota; Metazoa; Arthropoda; Thecostraca; Pollicipedomorpha; Pollicipedidae
Source: the annotation of a RefSeq genome assembly